This is a long non-coding RNA of Peromyscus eremicus (cactus mouse), 877 nucleotides long. RefSeq lists it as uncharacterized. The record is from RefSeq and is a predicted model, not a curated record. The transcript is spliced from 2 exons. Lineage: Eukaryota; Metazoa; Chordata; Mammalia; Rodentia; Cricetidae.
UCUAACUUUAUCAAAAUAUUCUAUGAAAAAAAAAGAUGGGCCCUAACAGAAGAGGGGAGGUCUUGGGGUAACCUGUGUGAACAGGUUGUCUUCCUCUGAAACCUUGGGACUAUUCUUCACUGAGCUGUUGGAAGAAAGGUUGAACUCAAGGUAGGUUGAAUUAGGCAAACAUAUUAUUAUGCCUCUCCUUUGCCAGAGUCCAAACUGGCCUCAUUUUAUUUGAUAUUAAAGAUAACCACUAUUAUUCUCAGGCAUGAAAUUAAUUGCAAAGAAAUAUUGGUCAUAUGCCAGGCAGAGAGUCCAGGUUCGCCCCCCUGGAGCCUGGGAUAAGCAUUUCGUGUCCUCUGCUGACCUUGUAUGUGCUUCUGUGGGGAAAUUAGAGAUGCAUUAAGUGGCUGCACACAGCAGAAUAAUUGCCAUGGCAACCAAAGGCCCAUCACCUGAGCUUUCUUCCAAACUGAUUUGUCAAGAGCGAAUUGCAGAUGGUCUCACAAAAUGGAAGAUGGGAAAAAAAUUCACAUUCUCUCUCUCUCUCUUUCCUCCUUUCUCGUGUUUUGAUAUCUGGGUUCUAAAAGUGGCUCACUCAUGUCUCCUUUUUCUAAAAUUAUUCUAAAUAUGUUUUUUUUUCCUUCUCAGAGUUGCUGUCUGACUCAUGGAUCCUGUGCUUGAUGAGGCUGGCAGAAUGACGAUGCGCCCUUGAUGAGGCCAUUCUGGGACAGAAACAUCUCUGCUCUGUUCAAGGGGAUUCAUGACCUUGUCACUUCACUGUCUCAAAUGAACUAUCCCCAAGAUAAAAAAGUUGUCACGUCAGGCUGUUUCUGGACUCGGGGUUGUGGGAACAAAUAAAUGAUGACUUUCUGUCCACGUCUUUAUAGAG